Molecule: ribosomal RNA, 401 nt
Filed under: uncultured bacterium
Lineage: Bacteria
Description: bacterial SSU rRNA
Rfam family: Bacterial small subunit ribosomal RNA
Source: RNAcentral
AACGAACGCUGGCGGCGUGCCUAACACAUGCAAGUCGAACGAGAAAGGGGCUUCGGCUCCGAGUAAAGUGGCGCACGGGUGAGUAACACGUAGGUAACCUGCCUCUAAGAUUGGGAUAACCUGUCGAAAGACGAGCUAAUACCGAAUAAGACCACGGCUUCCUCGGAAGCAGGGGUCAAAGGUAGCCUCUACUUGUAAGCUAUCACUUAGAGAUGGGCCUGCGUACCAUUAGCUAGUUGGGGGUAACGGCUACCAAGGCAAGAUGGUUAGCUGGUCUGAGAGGAUGAUCAGCCACACUGGAACUGAGACACGGUCCAGACUCCUACGGGAGGCAGCAGUGGGGAAUAUUGCGCAAUGGGCGAAAGCCUGACGCAGCAACGCCGCGUGAGUGAUGAAGGCCU